UAGUGGCGAACGGGUGAGUAACACGUGGGCAAUCUGCCCUUCACUCUGGGACAAGCCCUGGAAACGGGGUCUAAUACCGGAUAACACUCUGUCCCGCAUGGGACGGGGUUGAAAGCUCCGGCGGUGAAGGAUGAGCCCGCGGCCUAUCAGCUUGUUGGUGGGGUGAUGGCCUACCAAGGCGACGACGGGUAGCCGGCCUGAGAGGGCGACCGGCCACACUGGGACUGAGACACGGCCCAGACUCCUACGGGAGGCAGCAGUGGGGAAUAUUGCACAAUGGGCGAAAGCCUGAUGCAGCGACGCCGCGUGAGGGAUGACGGCCUUCGGGUUGUAAACCUCUUUCAGCAGGGAAGAAGCGAGAGUGACGGUACCUGCAGAAGAAGCGCCGGCUAACUACGUGCCAGCAGCCGCGGUAAUACGUAGGGCGCAAGCGUUGUCCGGAUUUAUUGGGCGUAAAGAGCUCGUAGGCGGCUUGUUGCNGUCGGUUGUGAAAGCCCGGGGCUUAACCCCGGGUCUGCAGUCGAUACGGGCAGGCUAGAGUGUGGUAGGGGNAGAUCGGAAUUCCU
RNAcentral lists this ribosomal RNA (566 nucleotides) under Streptomyces sp. 322C08. RNAcentral's name for it is "bacterial SSU rRNA". It matches the Rfam family "Bacterial small subunit ribosomal RNA", at positions 93 to 671 of the family's 1533-position model. Lineage: Bacteria; Bacillati; Actinomycetota; Actinomycetes; Kitasatosporales; Streptomycetaceae. The record is from RNAcentral.